This 30-nucleotide non-coding RNA is filed under the name Mus musculus (house mouse). The record is from RNAcentral. Lineage: Eukaryota; Metazoa; Chordata; Mammalia; Rodentia; Muridae.
UGGUUACCAUAAGUUGGCAAUCUGGGUGUU